AUCACAUCAAAUAAGUAAAUAUUGAUUCUGCCUUCAUACAUAUCGGUCAAAUUAAGACUUCGUUUGGGAUUGCGGGAAAAUUACGUUUCAUGCAGUGAAAAGCGAUGAUAGAAAAAUAUCUUGUUUCCGUACGUAAUAUUGCGUUCCGUAUAUUACGGUUAGUCGGUUACGAUAUAUUUUUUACGGUCCCAUCGGAGAACGCAGAAGCACAUAGGAAUAUAUUUUUUCUCAACUCCAUUCUAUCUAAUAGCGUUAGAUCAACCUCAAUACCAAACUAAGCCUAAGUUUGGAUCUAAGAAGCGGAUUGAGUUUCUAUAUCUUUAUGAGUUCGAGUUUUG
RNAcentral lists this long non-coding RNA (338 nucleotides) under Ananas comosus (pineapple). RNAcentral describes it as "long non-coding RNA (ACOM_LNC006602)". Lineage: Eukaryota; Viridiplantae; Streptophyta; Magnoliopsida; Poales; Bromeliaceae. The record is from RNAcentral.